AGAGUUUGAUCAUGGCUCAGGAUGAACGCUAGCGGCAGGCUUAACACAUGCAAGUCGAGGGGUAGAGGUUGCUUGCAACCUUGAGACCGGCGCACGGGUGCGUAACGCGUAUGCAACCUACCUUUUACAGAGGGAUAGCCCAGAGAAAUUUGGAUUAAUACCUCAUAGUAUAUAUCUUUCGCAUGUUAGGUAUAUUAAAGUUCCAACGGUAAAAGAUGGGCAUGCGUCCUAUUAGCUAGAUGGUAAGGUAACGGCUUACCAUGGCUACGAUAGGUAGGGGUCCUGAGAGGGAGAUCCCCCACACUGGUACUGAGACACGGACCAGACUCCUACGGGAGGCAGCAGUGAGGAAUAUUGGACAAUGGGCGCAAGCCUGAUCCAGCCAUGCCGCGUGCAGGAAGAAGCAUCUAUGGUGUGUAAACUGCUUUUGUACAGGAAGAAACAUCCCGACGUGUCGGGACUUGACGGUACUGUAAGAAUAAGGAUCGGCUAACUCCGUGCCAGCAGCCGCGGUAAUACGGAGGAUCCAAGCGUUAUCCGGAAUCAUUGGGUUUAAAGGGUCCGUAGGCGGUUUGGUAAGUCAGUGGUGAAAUCCCGGAGCUUAACUUCGGAACUGCCUUUGAUACUGGGUGUCUUGAGUGUGAGAGAGGUAUGUGGAACUCCGAGUGUAGAGGUGAAAUUCGUAGAUAUUCGGAAGAACACCAGUGGCGAAGGCGACAUACUGGCUCAUUACUGACGCUGAGGCUCGAAAGCGUGGGGAGCAAACAGGAUUAGAUACCCCGGUAGUCCAA
This 791-nucleotide ribosomal RNA is filed under the name uncultured bacterium. RNAcentral's name for it is "bacterial SSU rRNA". It matches the Rfam family "Bacterial small subunit ribosomal RNA", at positions 8 to 798 of the family's 1533-position model. The record is from RNAcentral.